GUAGGUGGCAAGCGUUGUCCGGAAUUAUUGGGCGUAAAGCGCGCGCAGGCGGUUCUUUAAGUCUGAUGUGAAAGCCCACGGCUCAACCGUGGAGGGUCAUUGGAAACUGGGGAACUUGAGUACAGAAGAGGAAAGCGGAAUUCCACGUGUAGCGGUGAAAUGUGUAGAGAUGUGGAGGAACACCAGUGGCGAAGGCGGCUUUCUGGUCUGUAACUGACGCUGAGGCGCGAAAGCGUGGGGAGCAAACAGGGAUUAGAUACCCUGGUAGUCCACGCCGUAAACGAUGAGUGCUAAGUGUUAGGGGGUUUCCCGCCCCUUAGUGCUGCAGCUAACGCAUUAAGCACUCCGCCUGGGGAGUACGGCCGCAAGGCUG
This 373-nucleotide ribosomal RNA is filed under the name uncultured organism. RNAcentral describes it as "partial 16S ribosomal RNA". It matches the Rfam family "Bacterial small subunit ribosomal RNA", at positions 527 to 896 of the family's 1533-position model. The record is from RNAcentral.